This 72-nucleotide transfer RNA is filed under the name Ictidomys tridecemlineatus (thirteen-lined ground squirrel). RNAcentral's name for it is "Spermophilus tridecemlineatus (thirteen-lined ground squirrel) tRNA". It matches the Rfam family "tRNA". Rfam says of the family: Transfer RNA (tRNA) molecules are approximately 80 nucleotides in length. Their secondary structure includes four short double-helical elements and three loops (D, anti-codon, and T loops). The record is from Rfam by way of RNAcentral. Lineage: Eukaryota; Metazoa; Chordata; Mammalia; Rodentia; Sciuridae.
UGUGGUGUGGCUCAGUGGUAGAGUGCUGGCCUAGCACUCAUGAGGCCCUGGGUUCCAGUCCCAGGACCACAC